Molecule: ribosomal RNA, 463 nt
Filed under: uncultured bacterium
Lineage: Bacteria
Description: partial 16S ribosomal RNA
Rfam family: Bacterial small subunit ribosomal RNA
Source: RNAcentral
GACGAACGCUGGCGGCGUGCUUAACACAUGCAAGUCGAACGGUGAACCUCUUCGGGGGGGAUCAGUGGCGAACGGGUGAGUAACACGUGGGCAACCUGCCCCCGGCUCUGGGAUAACUCCAAGAAAUUGGGGCUAAUACCGGAUGUUCACCGCUUCCCGCAUGGGUGGUGGUGGAAAGGGUUUCCGGCUGGGGAUGGGCCCGCGGCCUAUCAGCUUGUUGGUGGGGUAGUGGCCUACCAAGGCGACGACGGGUAGCCGGCCUGAGGGGGUGACCGGCCACACUGGGGCAGAGACACUGCCCAGACUCCUACGGGAGGCAGCAGUGGGGAAUAUUGCGCAAUGGGCGGAAGCCUGACGCAGCGACGCCGCGUGGGGGAUGACGGCCUUCGGGUUGUAAACCUCUUUCAGCAGGGACGAAGCGUAAGUGACGGUACCUGCAGAAGAAGCACCGGCCAACUACGUG